GGGGCCAUAGCUCAGUUGGGAGAGCGCCUCGCUUGCACCGAGGAGGGCGCGGGUUCGAGUCCCGCUGGCUCCA
This 73-nucleotide transfer RNA is filed under the name Solirubrobacterales bacterium. It matches the Rfam family "tRNA". Rfam says of the family: Transfer RNA (tRNA) molecules are approximately 80 nucleotides in length. Their secondary structure includes four short double-helical elements and three loops (D, anti-codon, and T loops). The record is from Rfam by way of RNAcentral. Lineage: Bacteria; Bacillati; Actinomycetota; Thermoleophilia; Solirubrobacterales.